Molecule: ribosomal RNA, 428 nt
Filed under: uncultured bacterium
Lineage: Bacteria
Also listed under: 2 other names
Description: bacterial SSU rRNA
Rfam family: Bacterial small subunit ribosomal RNA
Source: RNAcentral
UGGGGAAUCUUGCGCAAUGGGCGAAAGCCUGACGCAGCAACGCCGCGUGGAGGAAGAAGGCCUUCGGGUUGUAAACUCCUGUCAGGGGGAACGAAGGCACCUGGGUUAAUAGCCCAAGGGCUGACGGUACCCCCAGAGGAAGCCACGGCUAACUACGUGCCAGCAGCCGCGGUAAUACGUAGGUGGCGAGCGUUGUCCGGAAUCAUUGGGCGUAAAGAGCGCGUAGGCGGCUUGUCAGGUCUGACGUGAAAUCCCGGGGCUCAACCCCGGACGUGCAUCAGAAACCGGCUUGCUAGAGUCUGGGAGAGGGAAGUGGAAUUCCUGGUGUAGCGGUGAAAUGCGCAGAUAUCAGGAGGAACACCGGUAGCGAAGGCUGCUUCCUGGAACAGUACUGACGCUGAGGCGCGAAAGCUAGGGGAGCAAACAGG